UCGGAAAAUACUGACGGACACGUUCCGUCGGAAUUUCAAUUAGCCCGGGAGAACCAAACCGCUUGAAAAUUUUCGCGAAUCGGCAUUUGGUAUAUUUUAAAUAUACCGACGGAAUACCGACGAACCCGUGUCCGUCGGAAUCCACGGAAAUAAAAACCCUUCUCCUUUCUUCUUCGUUAUCUCCGCGGCCUCUCUCUCUCUCAAAACUCUCCGGCGAUUCCGGCGAUUUCGGCGACUCUCCGGCGAUUCCGGCCUCUCUUCACCGGCGAAUCCUCUCCUCACCCUCCUAUCUCUUCCCCAAACCCCAAAUCAUGUAAGAAUCAUCCCAAACCUUUUUUUUUUUCAAUUGUUUAGGGUUUUGGAAGUUGAUCUCGGAUUUUAGGUUGUUUGAUUGAACAUUUUAGGAUUGAAUGGAUAGUUUAGGAUAUAUAAGUUAGGAUUGUUGUUUUAGUUUUUUU
Molecule: long non-coding RNA, 458 nt
Filed under: Brassica napus (rape)
Lineage: Eukaryota; Viridiplantae; Streptophyta; Magnoliopsida; Brassicales; Brassicaceae
Description: long non-coding RNA (BNAP_LNC027015)
Source: RNAcentral